GUGGGGAAUAUUGGACAAUGGGCGAAAGCCUGAUCCAGCCAUGCCGCGUGUGUGAAGAAGGUCUUCGGAUUGUAAAGCACUUUAAGUUGGGAGGAAGGGCAGUAAGUUAAUACCUUGCUGUUUUGACGUUACCGACAGAAUAAGCACCGGCUAACUUCGUGCCAGCAGCCGCGGUAAUACGAAGGGUGCAAGCGGUAAUCGGAAUUACUGGGCGUAAAGCGCGCGUAGGUGGUUUUGUAAGUUGGAUGUGAAAUCCCCGGGCUCAACCUGGGAACUGCCUCCAAAAGUGCAUGACUAGAGUACGGUAGAGGGUAGUGGAAUUUCCUGUGAAGCGGUGAAAUGCGUAGAUAUAGGAAGGAACACCAGUGGCGAAGGCGACUACCUGGACUGAUACUGACACUGAGGUGCGAAAGCGUGCGGAGCAAACAGGAUUAGAAACCCGGGUAGUCC
This 450-nucleotide ribosomal RNA is filed under the name uncultured bacterium. RNAcentral's name for it is "partial 16S ribosomal RNA". It matches the Rfam family "Bacterial small subunit ribosomal RNA", at positions 354 to 796 of the family's 1533-position model. The record is from RNAcentral.